Pelobates cultripes (western spadefoot toad) is the source of this 474-nucleotide non-coding RNA. Lineage: Eukaryota; Metazoa; Chordata; Amphibia; Anura; Pelobatidae. The record is from the annotation of a GenBank genome assembly.
CUUAGCUCCCGAAUCAUAUCAGCCCUACACAGGUAGUGCCAUCAUACACCAUUUGUCAUAUAAAUACAAGGCACUGCCUGCUCUGUGAAUGAGAUGCAGCCAUCCCAAAUACCCAGUGUUUCAGAUGAACAAUUAUUAUUUUAGGGUCCUAUCUCACCAUCCUAAUUUGUAGGCUCACACUUACUUUCAGUAGGUGCCCCUGCAUCUUUCCAGGUGGGCCUGCCCAUUGAUUACUAUGGGUUUCUACUAUGGGUUACCUGUCAACUAGGUCCAUCUUUGCAUACCUCCCAAUGUUAUGUUGGCAAGUAUGGAAAUGGAGCCAGAGAGGGUGGAAGCAGGACUGUGACAUCAUAAAAACCCUAUAUUCUCACUAACUACAAGGCCUGUAGCAUAGAGAGCAGGCAUAGAGCUGGUGUGACUGUUAUUGUAUAUGAAGUUGGGAGAGACUGUUACUGCUGAUUCACAGACCUGGGC